CGGAGGGAGUAGUUACAUGCUACUGUUGAUCGCAAUUUUAAGUUUAUUUCCCUUAGUAUUAAAGAUAUUUUUUCACAAUUUACUGUUAUGUGAAUCUUUUUUUUACAGUCCAUUUACUCUGUCCAUGUAUGCCAGUAUUUACUGUAUCCGGUAGUUGGUUUGUUUUGUUGCCAAUAUAGUGCAGUGUAAAUUUGGGUUUUGAGGACUGUAAGUCAGUAAUUGGUAAUGAUUAGAGUACUGAGAUAUCAGCCUCUGCUGUUUCUUUAGCCUAUGUUCUCUGAUCUUCUAGAUCAGAGCACCAUUUUCAUGUAAUUACAGUUCUUCUGCUCAUGUCUUGCAGUUUUCUGAAAAUUUAAAGUUUGUGUAAGUCUGAUAUGUACUAAGUAGCUUGUAAUCUGCACUAGUUGUACUCUAUAUCCACAUCAGCAAGAUCCAAGCACCCAUUUUAUGUAAUUAUAGUUCUGUUUGAUCACGACUUACUGUACCUAUCUUCUGGUUUUACAGUUUUCUAAAAAAAUUCAUUCCUUGCUAGCUCUAGUGUACUUAUGAUACAUAGUUGUUUGUAAUCUGUACUAGCUGAAGUCCUAUAUGACCUCAUUUUGCUGCCCCUUUUGAUGUUUUUGGCGAAAUCUUGUUGAUUUGUAGAGGGAAAGGCAAGGCCCCUGAAGUCCCAAUCCCUAUGAACAAUGCUGGAGGAGCGUAGACAAAGCAAAAUUGGGGGCGAGGGGUGUUUGCUGUGUUGCAUCCGCCAUUGUUCCUUCCAGGUGAAUGGAGCUUGUGUUGUUGGUAGAACUCCGUUGAUGGCUUCUUCCUAUGUUGAAGAGCAUGUUCCGUGGUAUCCAAGAGUAGUUAGCAUUACACUGGAAGAGCAUUUUAUUUGUCGAUCGCAAUAUUUGUGAUU
Molecule: ribosomal RNA, 901 nt
Filed under: Triticum aestivum (bread wheat)
Lineage: Eukaryota; Viridiplantae; Streptophyta; Magnoliopsida; Poales; Poaceae
Description: partial small subunit ribosomal RNA
Source: RNAcentral